Molecule: ribosomal RNA, 253 nt
Filed under: uncultured bacterium
Lineage: Bacteria
Description: partial 16S ribosomal RNA
Rfam family: Bacterial small subunit ribosomal RNA
Source: RNAcentral
UACGUAGGGGGCAAGCGUUGUCCGGAUUCAUUGGGCGUAAAGAGCGUGUAGGCGGCCAGAAAAGUCCGCUGUGAAAACUCGAGGCUCAACUUCGAGCUGUCGGUGGAAACUUUCUGGCUAGAGUCCGGAAGAGGAGAAUGGAAUUCCCGGUGUAGCGGUGAAAUGCGCAGAUAUCGGGAGGAACACCAGCGGCGAAGGCGGCACUCUGGGCUGGUACUGACGCUGAGGAGCGAAAGCGUGGGUAGCAAACAGG